GGUCCCGUAGCUCAGCUGGGAGAGCGCCUCGCUUACACCGAGGAUGUCGGGGGUUCGAUCCCCUCCGGGACCGCCU
RNAcentral lists this transfer RNA (76 nucleotides) under Microbacterium sp. RNAcentral describes it as "tRNA-Val". It matches the Rfam family "tRNA". Rfam says of the family: Transfer RNA (tRNA) molecules are approximately 80 nucleotides in length. The record is from RNAcentral. Lineage: Bacteria; Bacillati; Actinomycetota; Actinomycetes; Micrococcales; Microbacteriaceae.